CCUACGGGUGGCAGCAGUGAGGAAUAUUGGUCAAUGGGCGCUAGCCUGAACCAGCCAAGUCGCGUGAAGGAUGACGGCUCUAUGGGUUGUAAACUUCUUUUAUAUAAGAAUAAAGUGCAGUACGUAUAGUGUUCUGUAAGUAUCAUAUGAAUAAGGAUCGGCUAACUCCGUGCCAGCAGCCGCGGUAAUACGGAGGAUCCGAGCGUUAUCCGGAUUUAUUGGGUUUAAAGGGUGCGUAGGUGGGCUGGUAAGUCAGUUGUGAAAGUUGGCGGCUCAACCGUCAAAUUGCAGUUGAUACUGGCAGUCUUGAGUGCAGUAGAGGUAGGCGGAAUGCGUGGUGUAGCGGUGAAAUGCUUAGAUAUCACGAAGAACUCCGAUUGCGAAGGCAGCUCACUGGCCUGCAACUGACGCUGAUGCUCGAAAGUGUGGGUAUCAAACAGGAUUAGAUACCCGGGUAGUC
This 460-nucleotide ribosomal RNA is filed under the name uncultured bacterium. Its description in RNAcentral is "partial 16S ribosomal RNA". It matches the Rfam family "Bacterial small subunit ribosomal RNA", at positions 338 to 795 of the family's 1533-position model. The record is from RNAcentral.